ACCCUGAGGGGUAGAUCAAUAGGUAAACCAUGAGACUCGUAAUCUCAGAGUCAUGGAUUCAAGCCCCACAUUGGGCA
Non-coding RNA from Podarcis lilfordi (Lilford's wall lizard), 77 nucleotides. Lineage: Eukaryota; Metazoa; Chordata; Lepidosauria; Squamata; Lacertidae. The record is from the annotation of a GenBank genome assembly.